GUGCUCGCUUCGGCAGCACAUAUACUAAAAUUGGAACGAUACAGAGAAGAUUAGCAUGGCCCCUGCGCAAAUAUGACAAGGCGCAAGGAGGAAGAAAAAAAAAGUAAAU
Small nuclear RNA from Suncus etruscus (white-toothed pygmy shrew), 109 nucleotides. The record is from RefSeq and is a predicted model, not a curated record. Lineage: Eukaryota; Metazoa; Chordata; Mammalia; Eulipotyphla; Soricidae.